GUGCCAGCAGCCGCGGUAAUACGUAGGUGGCAAGCGUUGUCCGGAUUUAUUGGGCGUAAAGCGAGCGCAGGUGGUUUCUUAAGUCUGAUGUGAAAGCCCCCGGCUUAACCGGGGAGGGUCAUUGGAAACUGGGAGACUUGAGUGCAGAAGAGGAGAGUGGAAUUCCAUGUGUAGCGGUGAAAUGCGUAGAUAUAUGGAGGAACACCAGUGGCGAAGGCGACUCUCUGGUCUGUAACUGACACUGAGGCUCGAAAGCGUGGGGAGCCAACAGGAUUAGAUACCCUGGUAGUCC
Molecule: ribosomal RNA, 292 nt
Filed under: uncultured microorganism
Description: partial 16S ribosomal RNA
Rfam family: Bacterial small subunit ribosomal RNA
Source: RNAcentral